CUUUUCUUGAUUUAAAUAUGAAAUAUGACCUGCCCACUGAUGUUAAUUGAAGGGCCGCGGUAAUUUGACCGUGCAAAGGUAGCAUAAUCAUUAGUUUCUUAAUUAGAAGCUGGAAUGAAUGGUUGGACGAGAUACAUACUGUCUUGUAUUUAAAAAUGGAAUUUAAUUAUUAAGUAAUAAAGCUUAAAUUUUUUUAUGGGACGAGAAGACCCUAUAGAGUUUAAUAUUAAAAUUGAACAGCUUAGUUUGUUAUAUUUAUUGUUUUAUAAAGUAUUUUGUUGGGGUGACUGGAAGAUAAAUAAAACUCUUCUUAUUGUUUAAUAUUAAUUUAUAGUUAUGUGAUCCAUUAUUAAUGAUUAUAAGUUUAAAUUACCUUAGGGAUAACAGCGUAAUCUUUUUUGAGAGUUCAUAUCGACAAAAGGGGUUGCGACCUCGAUGUUGGAUUAAGAUAAAUAUUAGGUGUAGAAGUUUAAUAUAUUAGGUCUGUUCGACCUUUAAAAUCUUACA
Molecule: ribosomal RNA, 507 nt
Filed under: Paratemnopteryx couloniana
Lineage: Eukaryota; Metazoa; Arthropoda; Insecta; Blattodea; Blattellidae
Description: partial 16S ribosomal RNA
Rfam family: Bacterial large subunit ribosomal RNA
Source: RNAcentral